This 182-nucleotide unclassified non-coding RNA is filed under the name Trichoderma sp. YM8. Its description in RNAcentral is "ITS1". Lineage: Eukaryota; Fungi; Ascomycota; Sordariomycetes; Hypocreales; Hypocreaceae. The record is from RNAcentral.
CCGAGUUUACAACUCCCAAACCCAAUGUGAACGUUACCAAACUGUUGCCUCGGCGGGGUCACGCCCCGGGUGCGUCGCAGCCCCGGAACCAGGCGCCCGCCGGAGGGACCAACCAAACUCUUUCUGUAGUCCCCUCGCGGACGUUAUUCUUACAGCUCUGAGCAAAAAAUUCAAAUGAAUCA